Molecule: long non-coding RNA, 3706 nt
Organism: Cicer arietinum (chickpea)
Lineage: Eukaryota; Viridiplantae; Streptophyta; Magnoliopsida; Fabales; Fabaceae
Source: RefSeq, a predicted model, not a curated record
UGGUAAAAUUGCAACUUUUGGUUGCUUCACUCUCACCUCUUCAACAAAUGAGAGUUCCGUGGAACGUAACUAUCAUAGUUCUAAAAGCCAAGGCUAGGAUCAAUAGGAGUGGUUGUUCCGGAGAAGGUUGCAGUGACAGUUCCCAACAAUCUUCAGAGCUGUUAUACUUAUAUUCUUGCAUCCUGCUGGUUUCACUGUUCCCCAUGCUGUAGCUUUCUUUUCUCCAGACGAGGUAUACCUGCCAAUAUUACUAAUAUUCAUUAUAAGGUGUGAACUGUUUGAUUAUUGGCACAUCAUGGAAAUUGAAAAUAAUGACCUGACAUCAGUUCUGUGAGGCUUAUCACGUGUUAGGUAUUAGACAAUAUCACACAAUCAGGGAAUUGAAGUGCGAAACAAGAUUCUGAUAAUUAUCCAGAAUCAGUACAACAAGGAUUACAAGGUUAAGAAAAAAACACAAUAGGCAAUUCAUGAGUGCCUAUACUCUCCCAGAUCUAACUGUUUUCCAGCCUGCCCACCUAUUCUUCUCCCGCUCACUCAGAUACCCCUCACUCUGCAUAACCCCAUUUCUCAACAGCCAUCUUGGCAGAAAGUUGUAACUCCUAUCCCCUCUGAAGAGUAUCAGUGUAGUGCUUCACAUCUCUUCUUUCUCCCCUCCUAGACUUUAGUUAUUUUGGGCCUUCAAGAUCAGGCCUGUAACAUCGCGGUUAAAGCUAUUUUCACUUCUCCCUCCUGAAAAAUGGUAGAAUGUGGAUUAUUUUUUGUAAAUUUAGCUUGUAUGAAACCCAUAUCAAAUUCAGCAGCCAUAAAACUUGUAUUUCAUUUUGCACUGGGAACUCGCUUGUCUACAAGAUUUCAGUGUCAUCUUGAAACUCUUUUUAUGUUCAUUUCUUGAAUUGUUUUCACAAUCAACUUGGCAUGUAUCUGUUUUGUUAGAUAGUCUACUUGUCAGUUGAUAUAUCAUUAUAUGCAUGUCUUAUUAUGAUUCUUAAUAUGUUGUGUUUUACAGUUUCCAUUUUCCAAAUCGUAAAUUUUGCCCAUACCACCAGUCUCCCAGUUUAAGUUCCUUGCCUCCAUUUUUACAAAAUAUGGUGAAAUUGAGGGAGAUAUAAACCAUUUGGUUGAGCAGUGCUGAUUAUAUAGAGGAAUACUCUAAGUGUAAUUUGUGAUAGAUAAGUAUAAGUACCACCUAAACUAAAACAAAAUUUUACUGCAGAGCUAUAAAACCAACGAUGUUAUGUUGAGAGAAAUGUUGGGUGGUGAUGAGUUGACAAGAAAGAAAUCUCAAUGAUGAAUGUAAGUCUUGGAAUAUUUGGAAUAAAAGUGUAAUCAUAAAGUUAGUGUAGCACCUAUCAUGGAAAAUAUGGUAGUCUCGCUUUUGGUGGUUUGGGUAUGUAGAGAGGAUCAAUUGAAGCACUAAGAAAGAGGGUAGAUCAGAUGGAAGGUAGUCUAAUAGUUUGAAGUAAAAGGAGAUUAAGGAGAAUUAUGGGUCAAACUGUCAAGAAGGAUUUGGGUUUGUGAUUUCACAUUAGACAGAUUUUAUGAUAGUACAUAAUGGUAUUGUCUUAUUCAAUUAGCCUACUCCACCUAGUGGAAAAAGUGUUUGGUGGUGGUGGUGGUUGUGGUUUUUUAUGGAAAUCUGAUGCCGCCUAUGAGAUAAAAAAGUCCUUUGUUUUGAGACAAUGGCCAUCAUUGCUCAAUAGGAUCAUAUAAUUAGGUUUUUAAGUACGUCCUGACAUGUUGCUGUAUAGAUAUUUGUGUUGUGUUGCUCAAGUUUGGAAACAUGACCCGUUUAUUUUGAUGUUGUAAGAGAGCUAUUUUCUCCUUGAAAAAAGUGUUUGUUUGGCAUAUAUGCAUUAUGGACAUUUAGUUACCCGAUCAUUUGGAAACACGAUUUCUUGGUCUGUUUUAAAGGUUUUAGUAGACACGGGGAGAUUGAUAUUCAUUUUUUGGAUGUGAUUCAGUCUUCAGUUCUUUAUCUGGUAGCUUUAUGUUGUGAUAGGGUGGUGAAUCUUGUGAUUUUCAUAAUUCUAUUGUCCUCAUCUAAGCUGUUUGAAGGGAGUUUACAUCUCUGAUUUGCAGAGACUGGACAGUGGUUUCAUACUUUUUUUCAUUCUUUCGUUUUCCUUUCUCCUUGUUUUGGAGGAUAUCUUAUCUUCUAGUUGAUUAUGACUUAUUUUAUCUCUAAUAUAACUUUUCAAUCAUAAAAAGACUUAAUUUGUUCAUUUAUCAUUUCAUUGUAAAUUUGCUUGAAUUUUACAUCCAUCUAGUCCACAUUGUAACAGAGUGGAAGCUAUGUGCAUGCAAGGGGGUUUUCAUUUCAUCAUGUGUAUAGACAUACUAUGGUAAUGGUCUCUGUUGAUAACUUCUUAUUUGCUAUGAUCCUUUCAGUGACUGUUUGAAGUGCUCUGGAUAUAACUUUUUUUAUCUUCCACGUCUGGAAUAUGCAGCUAUAGCUCUGCAGUAUUUUCUUGGUAACCAAGCUGAAACAUCUCUGUAUUCUCUUUUGGUACUGAAAUUAUGUAGCUUUGGCAUAUCAUGAUACUUAUUUUGGUUAGAAGCUAUUCAUUCUGGACAUACUCAAGCAAAUGUUCAAAGCUACUUGCCAUGGAUAAACAAUCAAAUUUAUUGUUAGCCCCAGUCCACUGGCCCUACUGGAAGUUUUCUUUUUAAAUUUUUUUGUCAAACAUAUCUUCAAAGGACCACAACUCAGAUACUACCAUGGCUUAUCAUAUUGGCUGCCUCUCUGAGAAAGUAUGAUUACGCUGAUCAUUAAUUUUGGUAAGCCGGGUACCCUUAAUUGAUGUGGAAUUUAUACGAGCACGAAUCACCAUUUCAUUGAUGUUUACAUAUAUAGCAUUGACACUUCAAGUUAAAGGAUGUCCAAAUCAACAUGUGUUCGUGUACGACCCAGAUAUGUGUGAUUACAUUUAACCACUUUCCUUUUCUCAAAUUAUUAUCGGUAUUUACAUGUUAGUAUCAAUGUUGUGUUUGUGUCGGUGCUUCAUUGAUAGUUCUCCCUUUUGAAGUAUUAACAGGAAGGUAGGGGGUGGUGGAAUGAUUUAUCUUAUAGUUUUUUGUGUUAUUUCCUAGUUUUUAAACUUCAGGAAACCAAUGAGCACAUGGUCUCAUAUCACGUUCAUUGAAAAGAUUCAUUUUCUGGAUGCUGGGAAGUUAUCCUCACCUUGAUUGAUCGUUGCCUGCCACAAGACAACCAGAAAAGUUCAAGAAAGGUAACAUUAUGACCUUUAUGUUUGCAAAAUGGAAUUGCCAGCUGAUUGUAAAUAUUAAAGGAUCUGUCAGCAUGUGAAACACUAAUAUGACAUAGCAAUAUUUCUAAUUUUAAAGCGAUGUUGCCUACACAUCUCUAUCUUCUCUGCAUCUACUAGUUUCUACGUCCAUGCAUAACAGAAAAUAGUUCAAGGGGGGCAACUGAGACUCAUCUGCGAUUGAGGCACAUGUAAAGUUAAAAGGUGUGGUGGAUGCAAAUGUUGCCUUGGUAUUGAAGGCUACUCCAGUGGUCCUGCGAAUGUAAGUAUUCUGAUGGAGGAUGAUGUACUUAUGCUCUAAAACAACAACAACACACUUUCCAAAAAGUGCUAAACAUUGUAAAUGUGUUCAUUAUCGUGAUUUAAAUGCAGGAGUUGAAUCAGUUUUAAUUAGUUAACCUUAUUAAUGAAAACCAAAUACAACUAAGUUCCAUUAUUAA